UGGGGAAUAUUGCACAAUGGGCGCAAGCCUGAUGCAGCCAUGCCGCGUGUAUGAAGAAGGCCUUCGGGUUGUAAAGUACUUUCAGUCGGGAGGAAGGCGUUAAGGUUAAUAACCUUGGCGAUUGACGUUACCCGCAGAAGAAGCACCGGCUAACUCCGUGCCAGCAGCCGCGGUAAUACGGAGGGUGCAAGCGUUAAUCGGAAUUACUGGGCGUAAAGCGCACGCAGGCGGUCUGUCAAGUCGGAUGUGAAAUCCCCGGGCUCAACCUGGGAACUGCAUGCGAAACUGGCAGGCUAGAGGCUUGUAGAGGGGGGUAGAAUUCCAGGUGUAGCGGUGAAAUGCGUAGAGAUCUGGAGGAAUACCGGUGGCGAAGGCGGCCCCCUGGACAAAGACUGACGCUCAGGUGCGAAAGCGUGGGGAGCAAACAGG
Molecule: ribosomal RNA, 429 nt
Filed under: Chloroflexota bacterium
Lineage: Bacteria; Bacillati; Chloroflexota
Description: Chloroflexi bacterium partial 16S ribosomal RNA
Rfam family: Bacterial small subunit ribosomal RNA
Source: RNAcentral